RNAcentral lists this ribosomal RNA (297 nucleotides) under uncultured bacterium. RNAcentral describes it as "partial 16S ribosomal RNA". It matches the Rfam family "Bacterial small subunit ribosomal RNA", at positions 194 to 507 of the family's 1533-position model. The record is from RNAcentral.
GGGGUUAGGAAAGUUUCGGCGGUUGGGGAUGGACUCGCGGCUUAUCAGCUUGUUGGUGGGGUAGUGGCUUACCAAGGCUUUGACGGGUAGCCGGCCUGAGAGGGUGACCGGCCACAUUGGGACUGAGAUACGGCCCAGACUCCUACGGGAGGCAGCAGUGGGGAAUAUUGCACAAUGGCGGAAGCCUGAUGCAGCAACGCCGCGUGCGGGAUGACGGCCUUCGGGUUGUAAACCGCUUUCGCCUGUGACGAAGCGUGAGUGACGGUAAUGGGUAAAGAAGCACCGGCUAACUACGUG